AGGACGAACGCUGGCGGCGUGCUUAACACAUGCAAGUCGAGCGACGCUCUCCCUUCGGGGGGAUGACGGAGCGGCGAACGGGUGAGUAACACGUGGGCAACCUGCCCCUAGCUCUGGGACAACACCGGGAAACCGGUGCUAAUACCGGAUACGACAUCGAGCGGCAUCUCUCGAUGUGGAAAGUUUUUUCGGCUAGGGAUGGGCCCGCGGCCUAUCAGCUUGUUGGUGGGGUAAUGGCCCACCAAGGCGACGACGGGUAGCCGGCCUGGAGACGGGCACCGGGCCACGACUGGGACUGAGACACGGCCCAGACUCCUACGGGAGGCAGCAGUGGGAAUAUUGCGCAAUGGGACAAAGCCUGGACGCAGCGACGCCGCGUGAGGGAUGACGGUCCUUCGGGUUAGUAAACCUCUUUCAGUCAGGUACGAAUUCGACGACGGUACCUGCAAGAAGUAACGCGACCGACCAACUACG
Molecule: ribosomal RNA, 474 nt
Filed under: uncultured soil bacterium
Lineage: Bacteria
Description: bacterial SSU rRNA
Rfam family: Bacterial small subunit ribosomal RNA
Source: RNAcentral